CGCCGUGGGAACCCUGCCCUCUUGUGGGGGAUAACAUGCGGGAAACUUGCAGCUUAUACCGCAUAAUGCCCGAGUAAUCUUGGGCAAAGAUUUAUCGCGAGGAGGAGGGGCCCGCGUCGGAUUAGCUUUGUUGGUGGGGUAACGGCCUACCAAGGCAAUGAUCCGUAGCUGGUCUGAGAGGAUGAUCAGCCACACUGGGACUGAGACACGGCCCAGACUCCAUACGGGAGGCAGCAGUGGGGAAUAUUGGACAAUGGGCGCAAGCCUGAUCCAGCAAUGCCGCGUGAGUGAGGAAGGCCUUAGGGUUGUAAAGCUCUUUCGCACGCGAACGAUGAUGACGGUAGCGUGAGAAGAAGCCCCGGUAACUUCGCGCCAGCAGCCGCGGUAAUACGAAGGGGGCGAGCGUUGUUCGGAUUUACUGGGCGUAAAGGGCGCGCAGGCGGUUUGUUUGUCAGAUGUGAAAGCCCCGGGCUUAACCUGGAACUGCAUUUGGGACGGCGGAGCUAGAGAUCGGGAGAGGAGAGUGGAAUUCCCAGUGUAGAGGUGAAAAU
RNAcentral lists this ribosomal RNA (551 nucleotides) under uncultured bacterium. Its description in RNAcentral is "bacterial SSU rRNA". It matches the Rfam family "Bacterial small subunit ribosomal RNA", at positions 113 to 688 of the family's 1533-position model. The record is from RNAcentral.